RNAcentral lists this long non-coding RNA (585 nucleotides) under Mus musculus (house mouse). RNAcentral describes it as "predicted gene, 37787". Lineage: Eukaryota; Metazoa; Chordata; Mammalia; Rodentia; Muridae. The record is from RNAcentral.
UUUUGUUUUGUUUUGUUUUUUUCUGGAGAGGACGGAGUGCUGUCAUCUAGAUAACAUUUUCAAAGCUUAAUGACCUUGGCACGAGUGGCUUUGCAGGCAGGGAGCUGGGACUCUUUACCUGCAGGCAGACAUGGAGAAAAACACUGAACAUGGGCAGAGUUCUGGAUCCCUCACAGAAGACUGUUUUGGGAUAAUCCACCCGCCCACACAAGAUAUCAGCUGGCUAUGAAGCAAACCAUGCAGUCUUAGAGUUAAUUCACAAGUGUGCCACUAAGGAAAUCAUCUCCAGCAUCAUUAUCGUUUUGAUUGUUUUGGAGAGGAAAGGAAAACAGAGAAGAAGGCAUUGUUCCUGCGGAGCACAAGCUGUGGACAUCUCACCACAUCUGCGGCUUAAGGGGGAGGCUACAAAGCAGAUGUUCUACAGCAAGCAAAUCUCCCUCCUCAGGUUACCAGCGGCUCAGGAGUGUUGGGAGUUGCCACAAAGGGAGUCGCCAUCCAUGACAUAGCACAAGUUCUUUUCCUCAUCCAUGACCUUAGACAGAACCCUUCUGAUUUUCUUUAUCAUUCCAAUCUAGAAUCCCUUCC